AUGUCUGCAUGCUCUUCGUGAUUGUCCAAAGGUGGCUGCAUUUUGGAGAAGUGUGUUACCUAAGAAAUUAGCACCAAAGUUUUUUAAUGGUGAUGUGGCAGUGUGGCUGGAAACAAAUUUAUCUUUUUCAGAGGCGGCUUUUUUUUGGCCAACUUUUUUUGGGAUUGCAGUGGAACUGUUGUGGGAAUCCCGCAACGACCUUGUGUUCUAUAAAGAUGGCACUUGGGACUAUUUAGAUCUUAGUGAUAUCACAGAUAUUGUCUUUAAUCGCUAUAAAGAUUGUAUGAGAGCCCAUGCUUCUCACAUUUUGAUGCCGAGGAAUCUCUUGAAGUGGAGGAGGCCUUUGCCCCUUUCACAUGGGCAUUGGUUGUUGAGGCUAAAUGUGAGUGGUGCCUAUGAUCGCUCUUCAGAUACUGCUGCAUGCGGAGGUAUAUUCAGAGACAACAAUGAUAGAUUCGUGCUUGGGUUUUCGGUUAAGCUUGGGGAAUGUUUGUCAAAUGAUGAGGGUGAAAUAUGGGGUAUUUAUCAUGGUAUGAAGAUUGCAAGGAGGUAUGAUAUAUGGGGUUUAUAUCGUGAUAUUCUAAGGCAGCAUAGCAUUCCAAUAAGUGCUAAGAUUGCAAGGCAGCAUGAUUUUGGUAAAAUAAUAGUGGAAUCGGGCUCUGAGAAAGCUAUUGGGUUUGUGUUAGAUGGAUGCCCUACAUCUACAUCGCUGGAGCAUUGUUUCCCACUGUGUGAUGAGUUGAAAGCUCUAACCUCUGCUACAAAUCACUUAUACUUCGAUAACGAUUAUGCUGCUGAUUCCUUUGCCAAAUUCGGUUUAUCCAUGAAACGGCAGCCUGUGAAAAUUUUUCGUGUUUGUCCCCCUUUUUGCCAACCUUAUAUUUCAGAAUACAGAUAAAUGUUAAAUAAAUAAGUACCUCAAUAUAAUAUUCAUUUCUUACUUUUUUGUUUAGUUUUAGAUUUGUCCUUACAGGUUCUACUGUAUAAACAAUUGAAUUAUAUUUAUGUAAUUUACUUGUUGUAUAUUUUUUUAACAUUAUAUUUUUAUUUUAUUUUAUAAACAUUAGCAUAUGUGAAUUAAACGAACGUUUGCAAAUUUUAAUAAAAAAAUAUUUGAAUACUAACUAAUCUAAUUUUUUGUAUUUUAACAGACAGUAUAUAUCGUAAUCUCAAUUAUAGUCAAAUUAAACAUAAAGCCUUUUUGUAAAUAUAUGGUCUUUUAAAUAUUUGCAAAUUUUAAUAAUAUAUAUAUAUAUAUAUAUAUUUUAAUACUUACUAACUAAUUUAAUUUUUUGGUAUUUUAACAGGCAAUAUAUAUUUCAAUCUUAUAAACAAAUUAAACAAAACCUUUUAUAAAUAUAUAUAUAUAUAUAUAUAUGAUCUUUUAAAUGGAGACCUUACUUGAUACUAUAUAACUAAAAUUUGAUAGAGUUAAAGUGCGGGAAGUGAGUUAAACUAGUAUUCACAUAUAUUUAAAACUGUCUAACCCUUGCAGUAAAAAAAGAACGGUUUAACCCUUAAAGUUUAAAAAUGAGUAAUAGUUGGAAUAAAAACAAAACAUAUCAAAUAGAUUUAAAGUAUAUUUUAGUUUAUUUGAAUCUUCUUGUUUGUAUAUGUGAUGAAUCAUUUCAAAACCUAGUUUUAAUAAAAUAUAUUAAUGAUUAUUGACGUAAUCAUUAUAUAGAUAUGUCUAUUUUAGCCUAUUAACAACUUAUAUGAGCUUAUCUUAUAAUAUAAGUAAUAAAAUUGUUUGGAAGGGCUUAUAAAAUAGCUUAAUGGCUGAAUGCUGCAAUGGAAGAGCUAACGUUAAAUAAGUUUCAGCAUCAACUUUGCGUCUACCAUCUAUUUAAUUGACACUACAAGUUCAAAGCCAAGCGUAUAUUGUGUCCAACUUUUUGGUCGACGCUACAUAGCAAAUAAAGUAUGUAACUUUUUUUUUUUCUUAUCUCAGGUUGUAUUAUAACAUUUUCAUCCUAUUUUACAUUGUAAAACUGGUUGUUUUUCCCUUUGAGUCUCUAAAUGGUAGUUGAAGUUGUAUCAAAUGGAAUACCUUGGUGUUUGUCAAUUACAAAUGAGGGUUCAAACAAUUUUUAACAAGAAGUAAUACUAUAUUAUCAAUUUAAGUAUUCGUUUUUGGUAUUAAAAAAAAGAGAUAAAACACUAGUUUUUACAUAACUUCCCCCUCUCCCAAGGGCGGAUUCAUCAAGAUUUAAUUAUUAAAUUAAUAACUUAUCCAUGAAUUAUUUUCCUAUAAUAUAUAUGUUUCAAUUAAAAAAAUAAUAAAAUAAAUUAUAAUAUAAUAUUUUAAUUUCUAUUCAUACUUGAUGUCUAAUAUAUUAAUUAUAUGAUCAACCUACCUUUUACAAUAAAACAUUUAAACAUAAAAAAAGUUACAUUUAAAUUACUUUUAUCCAAAUUUACGUUAAAAAGUUGCAUUACGUUGAACUUUACAAAUUAUAAUCUAACAAUACAUUAUUUCACGGAUCUACGUCCAAUGACGUACAAUGAACACAUUACCAACUACAUUGGUUGUAAUCCAUGCUUAUUUGACCAUGCAAAUUUUGAAGUAAACAUGAACAAUCAAUUUGGUUAAAAAUCAAAUUAUAAAAUAAAGUAUUUGAUGUUUUUAAAUAAAUUUUAAUUUAAUUUUAUUGAUAUAUAUAUUAGGAUAUUUAUAAUUUUAGUUUUUUCAUUAAUUUUAAAAUCAUUCUAUUUUUCAAUUACAGAUCAAUUAUUUUAAUUAUAUUUUUUAGUUUCCAUUAUUAUAAUUUUUUUUUCAUAUUACGCAUUCUACUGUUAAUGUCAUAUUAUAUAUUAAAAUAUUCUCAAUUAUGUUUAAAAUAAAAUAAAUUAAUACUCAUAAAUAGAUAUUAUACUCUUGUUAUGUCAAUUAAUGUAAUAAUUAAAAUAUUUAAAGUGCAAUGUUAAAAUAAUAUAAUAAUAAUAUUGUACGACUCAACAAAUCUGUGAUGGAAACAAAUAUAAAUAAUGUUAAGAAAAAAACAUCUUAUCCAAAAAAGGGUAAUAAGAAGAUUAAUUAAAUAUUUUAAGGGUAAGAAGGAAAUAAAUAUAAAAAGAUAAAAAUUGUCAUUUUGAAAAAUUGUCAUGAGGCAGCGUUUCAAAUUAUUUUUUUUGAAACUAUUAAAAAUACAUGUUUGUCAAAAACUGUUUAUAAAGUCAAGCAAAAUUUUCAGUUUGUUAAAAACAAAUCCAUAGUGUAUUAUCUAAAAAAUUGAACACAAUCUUAAUAACAAAUCCAAAUUAAUUAUCUUAAAAUUUCAAUUCUGAAAUAUUAUUGGUAAUCCAAAAAUGUAUUCCAAAAUACUUGUUUUGGAAUGUAACAUUCUGGAACAAGUAUAUUAGAAUAUAUUUCCAAAUCACCGAUCAUAGUUCAAGAAAAUGUGUUUUGCAAGUGAUUGGGUGUCUAAUGAGAUUAGGCUAAUCUUGUCCAUUUGGGUGUGUCCCUAUAAUUAGAUCAGGUCUAGGGUUCUGACUCAAAUGUGAAAGUGUAAUCUCCGUCUCCUUAGGUCAAGCGCUAAGUUAUGUACAUUUAACUACUGUAAUGGUUAUCCAAGUUACCAAACAUACCAUGAGGGGAUGCAUGAGGUAACUUGGAGCUCGGUCGGCCUACUUUCGGUGGGGUACAUGAUGAUUUUCACUUUUUUAUGGGGGGCAGGAAGCAAAAGCCUUCCUCCUUUCAACGCCCAUACCUAUAAAGGCCACAAAUUCAAUCAGAAACAGAGAGGACACCAUGGCCAACAACAACGAAGAGGAAGAGGAAGCAGUGGCGCCAAUGGUGAAGUUGGGUUCUUACGGUGCUGAGGUUCGGUUGCUGGUUGGUGGGGAGGAAUCCGCUGCUUUGGGGUAUUCAGCAGCCCACACUUUCCAAACCCAAUGCCUUCGUCUCUCAAGCUUCCUUGCAACUCUCCCUCGACUCUUGUGGCCACUCUCUCUCCAUUCUUCAAUCCCCUUCCUCAUUGGUAUAUAUCUCUCUCAAUGCUCUGGUUAAAGGUUAUUGAUUAAAGCUUUGAUUUUGAUCAUGUUUUGGGUUCUAACUUGAUGACCCGGUUUUGUUUUUUGCCCGAACGUCAUUACCCAUUUCAUAAAAUACCAUGAUGCUGUUUGUUUUUGCUUAAAGUUGUUAGCUUGCUAUGGCCCCUGUUUAUGACAUGUGUUAUUGAAGAUCUGAAUUUUGAGAAAAUGAACAAUUUAACUUGUUUUUGAGUAAUCAUUAAUAUAUAUAUAUAUAGUGUCUGGAGUGUCUUGGAUGCUGUACACUUGUUUUAUAGGAGCGGAUCUUAACUAAAAGAAUAAACUAACUUAAAUUAGUGACUAACUGUAAUGUUUGUUGCUGUGUUUUAUUUGUUUGUGCAUGUUUUGGUGGUCGAGGGAUAGAGGCGUGUGAUUCGUGCUUGUUUUUUUUCUUAUUACUUAUGUGUAAUGGUUCUGUUGACAUGGAUAAUUCACAUUAGUGCUCAAAUGACUUCUGCUCUAGCUUGUGCCUCUUCUAAUGGUUGGUUUUUAGUUUUAAACAGUUUUGACAUUUUGGACUUUUGUUUUAAGGGAACGCCUGGAGUAACUGGAGCAGUGAUGUGGGACAGUGGAGUUGUACUGGGAAAGUUUCUAGAACAUGCUGUUAACUCAGGGAUGCUUGUCCUUCAGGGAAAGAAGAUUGUUGAAUUGGGUUCUGGUUGUGGAUUGGUUGGGUAAGUUCAAUUGCUAUCUCAUUCUAUUUGACCUGUUAAUGCUAAAUAGCUAUAAUUGGUUCAUCAUUUCUUGAUUAGCUUGUCUUUUUGCACAUGGAUUUAAUGAACUAGGAAGAUAGAGCUUUGAGCUUUUGCAUUGUUUUUUUACGACCAAGAGACAGUUUGAACCAAAGGUUAAAAUAUAAUGAAUUAAGGAGUUAAUAACAAUCAAAUUUCUCCUACCACAUGUUAAAAUCUACUUUUCCACCUAUAUUUUUCUAUGAACUCUCAUCUUUCUACUCCAUUUGUUGUGUAAAAGUUGAUUUUAUCUUAUGGGAGAAGUUUGAUUCAUUCUACCUCCUUAAUUCUUCUUAUUUUCUUUUUCUUAACGUGUUUGUUCAAAAUUUUAUCCAAACUAGCUCUAAGUUGUCUAACAAAUGAUGAGGAAUUAUUUUUAAGUUUGUUCUUACUCAUUCUAUGAUACACCUUUCUUAUUUUUUCUUCCUUAGUUGCAUUGCAGCCCUUUUGGGUAGUGAGGUCAUUGUCACUGAUCUGCCAGAUAGGCUGAGGCUACUAAGAAAGAACAUUGAGACCAACAUGAAACAUGUUUCUCUACGGGGUUCUGUAACAGCAACUGAGCUCACAUGGGGAGAAGAUCCUGACCCAGAACUCAUUGACCCCACACCCGAUUUUGGUAUAAUAAUUCUCUCCCUCAACUCCUUCAAGUGAAAGGAGCAAACAACAUUCAAUUACUGACAUCAGAAACUUUUGACGUUUUGCUGUGAAUUGUGAUUAUUGUCAUCAUUCUAAUCAUAGCUUUGUAGUUAAUUGUAUCUUUUUCUUCCUUUGACUUGCAUGCCUUGUCAAAUAUUUGAAUUACCUGCAUCUCAUAUGAUAUUUUGCUAGCAUUCCUUAUUGAUUCAAUACUUGACUUCUUGUUUUCAGUGAUAGGAUCUGAUGUAGUGUACAGUGAGGGGGGGCAGUUGUGGAUCUGCUAGAGACACUUAUGCAGCUCUCUGGACCUAAUACAACAAUAUUUUUGGCUGGAGAACUCCGAAAUGGUAAAGAAUACCAUUCCUUUUUCUUUUCUUUUCUUUUGGGAGCACAAUUUAUAGCAUACUUCUGAGUAGUGUUUUCUGAUUUCAGAUGCCAUUCUUGAGUACUUCUUAGAAGCUGCAAUGGAUAAUUUCACUAUUGGCCGCGUGGAACAAACGCUCUGGCACCCUGAUUAUUGUAGCAAUCGUGUUGUUCUUUAUGUUCUAGUGAAGAAAUGAUUGUUGAGAAUAUGAUGUUUAGUUGGCUUCUGUAACUCUAGGAACAUGAUGUCCAUAUUGUGCAUCAAGAAUUUAACCAUAUUUUCUAUGUUAGCCCUCAAGUAUUUUGUUAUUUUCUGUCCUUGUGAGUUUGGUUUGGUUUGAUGAGUUCCAAACAAAAGUUUGCCAUAUUGUGACAUUUUAAUGGGACGGAAUGCUGAAGAUUUAGCUGGGAAUUGGAACUCUGUACACCAAGACUUAGCUAAGAUGUGUUAAUGUCUUUUAAGGAUGCGUUUGAAAACCAAUAUUUAAACAAUGCACUUACCGCCUCUCUUUUUUUUUUUUUUUUUUUUGUAUUUGAUAAUAGAAAAAUGUUAACUCGUGAGAGCACUGUAUAAAGAAAUGUCGAAAAUACUUUAUGCAAAAGUAUUUAUUAUAUUAAAAAUAUAUUGCAUUUAGUUUAUGUAGUUAAAUCAUAAAAGAAUAAAAAAAGCUGUUUUUUAGGGAUUUGUACCCAAAAAAAUUUAAUCAUACCUCUUUUUGGCCCCUGUUGCUUUAACAAAAUUCUAAGCAAAAUAACACCAAGGGAUAUGCUCAUAUGCCAGAAUAUGGAAAAACUUCAUCCAACUUGAAUAAAUUUCGCAAACUUUUUAUUUAUUUAUUAUUGCUAAAUUUUCCUAAUGAUAUUUUUAUUUUAUUUUGAAGAAUUAUUAACAAUUACACUAUUAAUUGUUAGGCAACUAGUAUUUUUUUUAAUAGAUGUCUUGAAGGCACAGUAAAAAAAAAAAAGCUUCCGCCUUCCUUGGUCAUAAUUAAACUCACAUACGUCCAAACAAUUUUGAAAUACCAAUUUUCUCAAAAAAAAAAAAUUUAUAAUUUGUCCUUGUUUUUAAAUAAAAUCAUUAAAUACUUUCCUAAAUUUUAUUAGUUUGAAUCAAAACUUGAAAAUUCUCAGUAGCCACAUAAUUACUACAACAUUCAUAAUCCUACUAAAAUAUACCAACUAAUUCCGUGUCUUAGACAAUGCAUGCCCAUCAACAUUUGAUGUUUAAUGUGAUUGAUUAUUGUCUUACUGAUAAAUCUUGAAUUAAAUGUUGCGUUCUCAAGAGUAUGCCUCCUGUUCUUUUAUAAAAGCUAACGAUGGCUGGUGGUGUGGUCGAUUAGUCUACUAAUGAAUAUUUCUUUGUCAUGAUUUCUGUUAAAAAUUUAUGAAUUGAUGGAGUUAAGCGUUUAACGCCUGGUGCUUUUUUGCAGGCCAUAUUUCCUCGAAUAUUUGGCCAUGAAGCAUCAGGGUAAUCUACUCUUAAUUUCUACGUUUGGAUUAAGACAACAUCGAGUCACUAGGGAUCCUUAGGUUAUUUUUGUUGAAUUUCAUAAGAAUUUUUAUUGUAUUUUUAAGAGUUACCCGAUUGGGUAGUAUGAGAAUUUGAUCAAAUACUGAUAUGCCAAGUUGAGUUAGAGUGACAAUAAUCAGCUGAGAGUGAAGUAUUAGGGAAUAGAUUAUUAGCUGUGGGGUUGCUGCAGGUAAAUGUUUCAGCUGUUUAUUAUUAGUUCUAAAAUUAGGGAAUAGAUUAAUGGAGUUUCUGUAAUCAACAUUGUAAACUUAAAACCCUGUACUUAAAUUACUUGAAAUAGUAACAGGUUAAUAGCCCUUAAGCUGUCUGAUUCUUUUUUCUUGUUAUUUCCUAUAAAUGGUUAGAGGAGGCAUGACUUCUGUCCCUGUGUUCAUCAGCUUGAAUGUCAAAGGAACAGUAUGGCCUUGGAAGAUAAACAAAGGCAAAGGUUUUUUUAGUUUGAACCAGAAUGUUUGAUUUUGUGAAAUUAAAAAGUUUAAUUUCUUUUUAAAAAAUAUUUUGAUCAUACAAGACUAAAUUACAAGAUAUAAAAAAUUAUCAUUAAAUUUUAAAAUAACAAUAUAAUAAUACAACUUAAUUCCUAUUAGUUGAAAAAAUAACAGUAUCAAUACUUCUAAAUUAACAUGGAUAUGGUGGAAACUUUUUUAAUUUUUAACCCAUAAAAAAAUGUAUUUAAAAUAGCGUGUCAGAUAAUAUCUUCCAAACAUUUCUGGCUAAUCCAAUACUUGCUUAUGUUUAUAACUAAUUUUUGACAGAAAAAAAAAAUCAUUAGAGUCAAUACCUACCGCUCGUAAAGAAAAGUUGCAACAAAAGGCUGAAAGUAUUUAAAUUGUCUUUGAUGAAUUAUAAAUGCCUUAUAAUUUGUUGUAUGAUGGAUACAUAUAAGCUUAAAUUAGAAGAUAAUCCAAAUUAAGACCUUGCAAAUAAUAUAAAAUAUUUAUACAUUUUAAAAAAAUAAAAAUAGAACUCAAUAAAUAAAAAGUAAGUCCUACUACUUUUAUAAUUUUUUUGAUAAAUUUUAGUUAGUAAAAAUGUGUUUAUAAUUUUAGUUAAUCAUGCUUCUUCCUCCAGUGUCUUCUCUCUUGUCAUCACUUAUCAGACAUCUACCAAGCUUCUCACUACGGUGAACUCAGUCAAGCUCAGACAUGCUGUCCCCACAAGAAGUUGAGAUGCAAUGAAGAGGCAGAUGAACACAAGAGGGUGAGCGAAGGGUAAGACGGAGAGGGAAAAAGGGUAAGACGGAGAUAUUUUAUUUUUUCUGUGGUGCAUCAAACAAAAAAAGACAAGCAAUUGCCAAUACAAUUAACAUAACAACACAUGACCUUAUUUCAUUGUCCCAACACACCCAAAAAGCUAAUGACUUGUGGGUGUGUGUAGGUCUAUUACUAAUGUUUUUUGUUAUAAGUCAAACAUAUAAGAUAAAAAAUUAAUUUCCAAAAAAUUCAUCCGCUUAAUGUAUGGUAUGUCUAUUAAUUUCGAGAAAUGCUAUAACCACCUAAAAGAAUACCAGAAAAAUUGGCUGUCCCCAUGCAACUAACUAUUAAUUAAUUUCUACUUUUUAAAAUGUUUUUCAGAUUAGAGAAUAAAUAAUUAAAUAAAGAUAUAUAUAAAAAUAACUAAUGCAUCUAUAAAUUAAUUAUGGAUCCUUUUGUUCAUAUAGUUGGUUGGUCCAAUAAAUAGUUAGUUGGUGCAAUAAAGGAUACACCCGUGUUCACUUUACUCCUGCACCUUCAUAUUUGAACGAGUCAAAGUUUCAUGGAUCCAAUUCAAAAGCCAUCCACAAUCAUACUAAGUUUCCAGUUUUCUUCUAGGAAGUUUCGUUGGAAAAAAUGAACCAUAAUUACCCAGCAAAUAUAAGAUCGAUUAAAUGAUUCAAAAAAAUAAUUACGGAUUCACAUACUCUUUAGGAUAAAAAAAUCUAACAAAUUUUUUGAAGUUCUUGAAUAAAACUUAUCAGCUUACUUUUUAGUUAACAUUCACCAGUAUUUUAUUUAUCGCUAACAAUUAACUUUUUUGGGGAUGUACCAUUAUCAAUAGUCAAUUAUUCUUAAUAUGGUGACAAUUAUAAAAAUUGACUGUAUACUUUAUUAAUUUGUAAUGAUUAUUACAAAUAAAAAGUAUUUUUUGUAAGAGUUUAAAUAGUGCGGUGUAGAACGUAUGCCACGGGUUAUGCACAGCCAAAGGUUUUAACUUCUAAGAAAGAGAGACGAAACAGAGAGAGAUUUUCCAUAAAGUUGAUAUGUCCAUGAAAAUCUAAUAAUAUAUAUGUUUGGUUCUGAGUGUAAUUAACACUUAUCAGUUUCAUACCUACUCAAGUUUGAUUUUGGAGACCCAACAAGCAGCCAUCCAAAUUCAUACUAAGAUUUCAUAUCAUGGCUUGGGGAUCACGUUCCUCUUCCUCUUCCUCCAAUUACGAUGUGUUCCUCAGCUUCAGGGGUGAAGACACACGUAGUGCUUUUACUGGCCAUCUCUACAACACUCUUCAGAGCAAGGGAAUCCACACUUUCAUUGAUGAUGAGAAGCUUCAAAGAGGGGAGCAAAUAACACCAGCACUUAUGAAGGCAAUUGAAGAUUCCAGAGUUGCCAUCACUGUGCUCUCUGAACACUAUGCUUCUUCCUCGUUUUGUUUAGAUGAACUUGCAACCAUCCUUCACUGUGACCAGAGGAAACGGUUGUUGGUUAUACCGGUCUUUUAUAAGGUGGAUCCUUCUGAUGUGAGACACCAGAAAGGUAGUUAUGGAGAAGCAUUGGCAAAGCUUGAGAGGAGGUUCCAGCAUGACCCGGAGAAGUUGCAGAACUGGAAGAUGGCUCUGCAGCGAGUAGCUGACUUGUCUGGCUAUCAUUUCAAAGAAGGGUAUGACACCAUACUAAUCUUCUUACUUUACAGUUUUUGUUGGAUUAUCUUUUACUUGUCUGAUUAUUUGACAUUAAAUCUAAAGGGAAAAUAAAUGCUUGUUGACCUUGACAAUAUACGCAUACCAGGACAUGGAUAAAUGCAAGGCUUUUAGUUUAGCUUGUUAAAACUUGUUUUGUUUGAAACAGAGAAGGAUAUGAAUACAAGUUUAUUGAGAAGAUUGUUGAGGAGGUCUCUAGGGUGAUUAAUCUUUGUCCUUUACAUGUUGCGGAUUACCCAGUUGGACUAAAGUCACGAGUGUUACAUGUAAGGAGACUUUUGCAUGCUGGAUCUGAUCAUGGUGUCCACAUGAUAGGGAUUCAUGGAAUGGGCGGGGUAGGAAAAUCAACACUUGCUCGAGCUGUCUAUAAUGAAUUGAUAAUUGCUGAGAAGUUUGAUGGUUUGUGUUUUCUUGCAAAUGUGAGGGAAAACUCAAACAAACACGGGUUAGAACACCUCCAAGGAAAGCUGCUUUUAGAAAUACUCGGAGAGAAGAGCAUCAGCUUAACAAGUAAGCAACAAGGAAUUUCAAUCAUACAGUCUAGGCUCAAGGGAAAGAAGGUUCUCUUGAUUAUAGAUGAUGUUGACACACACGACCAAUUGCAAGCAAUUGCUGGAAGACCUGAUUGGUUUGGUCGCGGCAGCAAAAUCAUCAUCACAACUCGGGACAAACAAUUGCUAGCAUCUCAUGAAGUUAAUAAAACAUAUGAAAUGAAGGAAUUGGAUGAGAACCAUGCUCUUCAGUUGCUUACAUGGCAAGCUUUUAAAAAAGAAAAAGCUGAUCCAACUUACGUGGAGGUCUUGCAUCGCGUAGUAACUUAUGCUUCUGGUCUUCCAUUGGCGUUGGAAGUAAUAGGUUCCCACUUGGUUGGAAAAAGUAUACAAGAAUGGGAAUCUGCCAUCAAACAAUAUAAAAGAAUUGCCAAGAAGGAAAUUCUAGAUAUACUUAAAGUAAGCUUUGAUGCUUUGGAGGAAGAAGAGAAGAAAGUUUUUCUUGACAUUGCUUGUUGUUUCAAAGGAUGGAAAUUGACAGAGCUUGAACAUGUUUAUGAUGACUGCAUGAAAAAUCAUAUUGGGGUGUUGGUUGAAAAAUCUCUAAUAGAGGUUAGAUGGUGGGAUGAUGCAGUUAACAUGCAUGACUUGAUUCAGGACAUGGGCAGGCGAAUAGACCAACAAGAAUCCUCAAAAGAGCCCAGGAAGCGAAGGAGAUUAUGGUUAACAAAGGAUAUAAUUCAAGUUUUAGAAGAGAACUCGGUAAGUGAGAGUAUGGUCUCUUAUCUUGAUCGUUUUUUUUAUCUUAUCUUUACAUCAUAGUCAAGUUUUUUCAUGACAAUUUGUAAAUUUCUUUAAACAGCAGGUGAAUUGAUGUCUUACAUAUAACUUGUAUUGUGGUUGAUUCGUACAUUUUUUUGCAUUAACAGGGAACGAGUGAAAUUGAAAUCAUAUCUCUGGAUUUAUCCUUAUCCGAGAAAGAAACAACAAUAGAAUGGAAUGGAAACGCCUUCAGAAAGAUGAAAAACCUUAAAAUACUUAUUAUUAGAAAUGGUAAAUUUUCCAAAGGUCCCAAUUAUAUUCCAGAAAGUUUAAGAGUACUGGAAUGGCACGGGUAUCCUUCUAGUUGUUUACCAUCUAAUUUUCAUCCGAAGGAACUUGCCAUAUGCAAGUUACCUCAAAGUUGCAUUACGUCAUUUGGGUUCCAAGGCUCAAUGAAGGCAAGUUUAAGGAGUAUAUUUUGUUCAUGUUGUUAAUUAAUAAAUUUACUUCAAACUUAUUCAUUUAGUUCUUAUUUAAUUUCUUUUUUCCUUUAUUUUUUUCUUUUGCAGAAGUUCAGGAAUCUAAAGGUUUUGAAUUUUGAACAGUGUGAAUUUUUAACAGAGAUACCUGACGUAUCUGUUCUCCUAAAUUUGGAAGAACUUUCAUUUCAUCGGUGUGGGAAUUUAAUUACAGUCCACGACUCAAUUGGUUUUCUAAAUAAACUUAAAAUAUUGGGUGCUACAAGGUGCAGGAAGCUUACCACAUUUCCACCUCUCAACUUGACCUCUCUUGAAAGACUUGAACUUUCAUGUUGUUCCAGUCUUGAGAAUUUUCCAGAAAUAUUAGGAGAGAUGAAAAACUUAUUGAAGCUUGAAUUGUCUGGCCUUCUUGGUGUAAAAGGAUUGCCAGUUUCAUUUCAAAAUCUUGUUGGACUCCAAAGUUUAGACCUGGAUGAUUGUGAAAAUUUUUUGUUACCAAGUAACAUUAUUGCCAUGAUGCCUAAACUGUCUUCAUUGAAGGCUAUAAGUUGCAAGGGGUUGCAAUGGGUAAAAUCAGAAGAGGGUGAAGAAAACGUGGGCUCAAUAGCAUGUUCAAAUGUUGAUUACAUCAUUGUCGAUUAUUGCAACCUGUAUGAUGAUUUUUUUCCAACAGGUUUCAUGCAGCUUCAUCAUGUGAAAACUUUAAGCCUAAGGGAGAAUAAUUUCACAUUCCUUCCUGAAUGCAUCAGAGAAUUGCAAUUUUUAACAACACUUGAUGUGAAUGGUUGCUAUCAUCUUCAGGAAAUUAGAGGGGUUCCACCAAACUUAAUAGAUUUCUCGGCAAUCGAUUGUAUAUCCUUGUCUUCCUCGAGUACAAGCAUGUUUUUAAAUCAGGUAUUGUCUUGUUUUUAACGUAUAUGAUUUGAUAAUGUAUUGCAUACUUGAUGUUGAUAAACUUAUGACUUCUUUAUGAAUUAUGACUAACAGGAAUUGCAUGAGGCUGGACAAACUAAGUUUGGCUUUCCAGGAGCAACUAUUCCAGAGUGGUUCAAUCACCAAAGUAGGGGAACUUCAAGUUCUUUCUGGUUUCGUAAUGAAUUCCCUGACAAUGUUCUUUGUCUUCUUGUAGCACGUGUGGAACGCAUAGGUGAUAAUGAUAUUCCCAUGCCCGUGGUGUUACUCAAUGGCGAACUUCUUAUUGAUCGUGAUCAUCACGUCCAACUAGGAAAAAAGAAAUGGGAUUAUACAUAUCUAUUUGACCUAAAAUCAGUUUUAGAUGAGCUUGUUGAUCUAUCUGAAGUGGUAUUAGAAAAGGAAUGGAACCAUGUGGAAAUUACAUACGCGGGUCAGAUAGAGACCUCACUGGUUAAAGCAACCGGAAUCCAUGUAUUCAGACAGGAUGAUAUUCGAUAUGAUGAUCCCUAUGGCAAGAGAAAAUUAGAGCAUGAUCUCAGUUCUGAAUCACAACCACUCAAUAAAAAGCCUAGGUAUAUGUGGACAAGCAAGUUUCAUUAUUAUCUUAUAUAUGAAAAUUAUACUGUUAAAUUGGAAUAAGUUAAAAAUAGCAUGUUAUCGAGGUUGUUUUGCAGGUUAUCGAGGUGGGUUGGCCCUGAAAGAAUUAUAAAUCUUCUGGGGAAUGCUGCAGAUGGAGCUUUAUUUACUAAUGCCGAGAGGAGAUAUAGCCAUAUUUCUAUGGUCUCUUGUAGGCGAUGCGGCGUGUUGGAGGAGACAUGUCUGCAUGCUCUUCGAGAUUGUCCAGAGGUGGCUGCAUUUUGGAGAAGUGUGUUACCUAAGAAAUUAGCACCAAAGUUUUUUAAUGGUGAUGAUGUGACAGUGUGGCUGGAAACAAAUUUAUCUUUUUCAGAGGCAGCUUUUUUUUGGCCAGCUUUUUUUGGGAUUGCAGUGGAUCUGUUGUGGGAAUCCCGCAACGACCUUGUGUUCUAUCAAAAUGGUCAGACUUGGGCAUAUGUACAUCUUAGGGCUACAGAUAUUGUCUUUAAGCGCUAUAAAGAUUAUAUGAGAGCCCGUGCUUCUCACAAUUUGAUGACGAGGAAUCUCUUGAAGUGGAGGAGGCCUUUGCCCCUUUCACAUGGGCAUUGGUUGUUGAGUCUAAAUGUGAGUGGUGCCUAUGAUCCCUCUUCAGGUACUGCUGCAUGCGGAGGUAUAUUCAGAGACUACCAUGAUAGAUUCGUGCUUGGGUUUUCGGUGAAGCUUGGGGAAUGUUGGUCAAAUGAUGAGGCUGAAAUAUGGGGUAUUUAUCAUGGUAUGAAGAUUGCAAGGAAGUAUGAUAUUUGGGGUUUAUUUCGUGAUAUUCUAAGGCAGCAUAGCGAUAAACAUAAUGUAUUUGACUAUAUUCGAAUAAGUCCUAAGAUUGCAAGGCAGCAUGAAUUUGGUAAAAUUGUAGUGGUAUCGGGCUCUGAGAAAGCUAUUGGGUUUGUGUCAGAUGGAUGCCCUACAUCUACAUCUACAUCUACAUCUACAUCGAUGCAGCAUUGUUUCCCAUUCUGUGAUGAGUUGAAAGCUCUAACGUCUGCUACAAAUCACUCAUACUUCAUGUACGCACCGGACUCAUACUUGAUGCACACACCGGACGAUCCUGCUGCUUAUUCCUUUGUCAAAUUCGGUUUAUCCAUGAAACAACAGGCUGCGUCAAUUUUUUCGGCUUGUCCCUCCUUUUGCCAACCUUUUGUUAGUGAAUACAUAUAAAUGUUAAAUAAAUAAGUACCUCAAUAGAAUAUUUAUUUCUUACUUUUUUGUUUAGUUUUAGAUUUG
Molecule: long non-coding RNA, 14691 nt
Filed under: Glycine max (soybean)
Lineage: Eukaryota; Viridiplantae; Streptophyta; Magnoliopsida; Fabales; Fabaceae
Description: long non-coding RNA (GMAX_LNC003777)
Source: RNAcentral